RNAcentral lists this long non-coding RNA (2120 nucleotides) under Drosophila guanche. The record is from RNAcentral. Lineage: Eukaryota; Metazoa; Arthropoda; Insecta; Diptera; Drosophilidae.
AUUGCAUUCAAGGUUGGAAGACUUAAUUGAUGUGCGUGUAGAAAAUAUACAAAAAAAAAACGUGGUGAAAAUUUUGCAAAACCAUAAAAGGGAACAUAAACCAAAUAAAAAACAAUACAAAAGUGUUUUGGCUGCAAAGACGAAAACUUAAAAACCAACCCCUGGAUAAGGUACGCCAAGAAAAAAAUGAAAAAGUGACCUUAUUACAUAAUUCCAUGUAUGUACUGUACAUAGGUUAUGAUCCACGUGUGGCAGGAAAUUGCUGACCUGGCCUGACCCUCGGUCUCGGAGGGGGGGUCCGCUCCAGUACCACGAGGAGGUGGCGGCGUGGAAGCUGUGUGUCCCCACGAGAACAGGUUCUAAGGGAGAAUCAUGACUCUCCAGGGGCUGGGCAUGCUGGCGGUCGGAAGACCAUGGCACGAAUUGCCGCAAUGUAUUAUUGGCCAGGGAUGCACCGGGACGUAAGGGCAUACGUGAGGAGGUGCGAAACCUGCCUGCACUUCAAGCCAAGCCAGAUACGGGCAGCUGGGAAAAUGUUGACCCAGGUCCCAGAAGAGCCAUGGGCAACAGUGUGUGCGGACUUCGUGGGACCUCUGCCGAGAUCGAAGCAUGGGAACGCAAUGCUGUUGGUGUUAGUGGAUCGUUUCUCCAAAUUGACCGAAUUGGUACCGUUGAGAAAAGCCACUGCGGAAGCGUGGCUCGAUUUGUAGUGCCAAAGGUGAUGAUCACCGAUAACGGAGUCCAAUUCACAAGCCGCGUGUUCAAGAAGUUCCUGGAGGAAAUGGGGGUCAGACCCCCACCGCUCCAUACACACCCCAAGAAAACCCAACAGAACGCACCAAUCGUACAGUGAAGACGAUGAUCGCACAGUUCACGGAGGGGAACAGCGGUGCUGGGAUGAGAAAUGGCCUGAGCUGAUGCUAGCUGUGAAUACAGGCGUAGCAGAAUCAACAGGGUAUUCUCCAGUGUACAUCGUACAAGGAAGAGAACCCCGACUGCCAAAUGCGCUGUACGACGAGGGAGCCCUGGGAACAGGACAAGGGCCGAGAACACCCGAGGAGAAUGCAUCCAAAUUGAGGGAAAUUUUCCAGUUGGUGCGACGCAAUCUGGAGAGGGCGGCCCAGGAUCAGGCAAGGCCCUAUAACCUGAGGAAACGAGAGUGGAAACCACAGAUAGGAGAGGUCGUAUUGGUACGGCAACACCAUCUAUCUAAUGCGGCGGAGGGAUUCGCUGCUAAGUUGGCACCGAGGUAUGCCGGGCCGUAUCGGGUGGUCGACUUUAAGUCGCCAGUGAUCUGCCAGCUGAAGAGAGACAGCGAUGGGCAUGUUCGGACGGCCCACUUGGCAGACCUGAAGCGACAGCCGAAAGAGGGAUGAAGGUAAAUGCCACCCAAGACCACGGGAAAGACAGCCAAAAGGCUGGAAAGGCUCAGAAGAGCGUCACCGAGAAUAACAAAAGGGUGAAAAAUGAGACAGACCCUACAAUCAGACAGAGCUGUAGGUAUGGGCGGUUUCAGGAAGUGAAAAUCUAGCUACCAAUUAGAGCGCGGGAAAGGUUACGAAAAGGAAAAAAAGGGAAAAGGUGUCGCGCAGGACACGGGAAAAGGGGAUCAUCACGCUGGAUGAAGAAGGCGAGACUUGAGGUGUCGCGCAGGACACCAUAGAGGGGCAACAUCACACAGGAUGAAGCUGACCUUAAAAUACGUAUAAAAGUAAAGGAGUGGUGCCACGCAGGACACGCUGGAGGGGCCCGCCACGCAGGACGAGCGGAAUAUUUAAAAAAAAGUUAGGUAUAAAGCGGUGCACCUGGAAAAAUAAAGAAAGAGUUAGAUUGGGUUAAAUGAGGCUGGCAAGAUACAAAUUACCCGCCGCCCUCGGGAGGAAUGGACGUUACACACUCAUGGCGCUGGGGCGAUGCCCAGGCAUGGUAAGGGAUGGUGAGGUGGUCGCGGGAAAUCCAGGCUCGUGCUAACGAGCGCCGGAUCCAGGGGAGCGGGAGCCGCCCACGCGUGGACUGACGGGCGAGGCAUCGGACGAUCCUCGGGUCCGGGACACUGUGGGGGAAGUGUGGGGGGACUUCCAACCGAUCUGGAUCAGAAAGCCGGCGUGCUUGGGAAAGCC